Molecule: ribosomal RNA, 481 nt
Filed under: uncultured bacterium
Lineage: Bacteria
Description: bacterial SSU rRNA
Rfam family: Bacterial small subunit ribosomal RNA
Source: RNAcentral
AACUAACGCUGGCGGCGUGCCUAACACAUGCAAGUCGUACGAGAAAGCCGGCUUCGGCUGGUGAGUAAAGUGGCGCACGGGUGAGUAACGCGUGGAUAAUCUGCCCUUAAGUGUGGAAUAACGUACCGAAAGGUGCGCUAAUACCGCAUAAUGCCUGGCAACACAAGUUGUCCGGCCAAAGAAGGCCUCUGUUUACAAGCUUUCGCUUCAGGAUGAGUCCGCGUACCAUUAGCUUGUUGGUGGGGUAAUGGCCUACCAAGGCUGCGAUGGUUAGCUGGUCUGAGAGGAUGAUCAGCCACACUGGAACUGAGACACGGUCCAGACUCCUACGGGAGGCAGCAGUUAGGAAUAUUGGACAAUGGGGGCAACCCUGAUCCAGCCAUGCCGCGUGUGUGAAGAAGGCCUUAGGGUUGUAAAGCACUUUCGGCUGUGAAGAUAAUGACAGUAGCAGAAGAAGAAGCUCCGGCUAAAUCGUGCCAGC